CAGACUCCCAAGCACCUGCCCAUCCCACUCCAUAGCCCAGCCACCCACUCUCAUGUACCAUAUGGCCAUCCCAGUAAGCAAGCCAACCACUAGAAUUUGACUGGCAUGCACCUGUGACUUACAUAAACCAGACCUCUACAUAGCCUACAUGUCUUCAUUUUGCUGAAGACUGCCCAUCAUCCUAGCCUGUUAUCUGUGAUAAAGCACACUGAAGUUAGGUUUGGAAUGCAUCCUUAUCAUGAAUGCUCUACACCUCCACCUCCAUCUCCCACAACCUAGGUAACAGCUUUGAGACUCACUAA
Molecule: long non-coding RNA, 302 nt
Organism: Macrobrachium nipponense
Lineage: Eukaryota; Metazoa; Arthropoda; Malacostraca; Decapoda; Palaemonidae
Exons: 3
Source: RefSeq, a predicted model, not a curated record